This 75-nucleotide transfer RNA is filed under the name Carangoides equula (whitefin trevally). RNAcentral's name for it is "tRNA-Ile". It matches the Rfam family "tRNA". Rfam says of the family: Transfer RNA (tRNA) molecules are approximately 80 nucleotides in length. Their secondary structure includes four short double-helical elements and three loops (D, anti-codon, and T loops). Further hydrogen bonds mediate the characteristic L-shaped molecular structure. tRNAs have two regions of fundamental functional importance: the anti-codon, which is responsible for specific mRNA codon recognition, and the 3' end, to which the tRNAs corresponding amino acid is attached (by aminoacyl-tRNA synthetases). tRNAs cope with the degeneracy of the genetic code in two manners: having more than one tRNA (with a specific anti-codon) for a particular amino acid; and 'wobble' base-pairing, i.e. permitting non-standard base-pairing at the 3rd anti-codon position. Lineage: Eukaryota; Metazoa; Chordata; Actinopteri; Carangiformes; Carangidae. The record is from RNAcentral.
CGCCGGGAGCUGUGCCUGAAGCAAAGGACCACUUUGAUAGAGUGAAUCAUGGGGGUUAAAGUCCCCCCAACUCCU